AUUGUGCUCAUUUUAAAGAUGGGGAAACAGCUAGGAGGCUAAGAAGCAGCUAGGUGGCCCAGUGGAUGGAGGACCCUGAUUUCAAAUACUCUUUCAGAAACUUAAUUAGUGUUACCCUGGGCAGAGGAAAGGAGCCAUUGGCAAGGAGAAAUCAAUGAUUUGGAAGAGAUUGUUCGAGGAAACAAGCUACUAGAGGAGAUAGAGAGAUUGGAUCAAAGGCAGAAAUAGAAGAGUUGGCAUUAGCAGAAGAAAAACCAUCUCUUUCUCUAAGAUGACAAGAAAAGCUAAGAGUUUGCAACACCCGGUGACAUCCCUUUUUAUCAUGGUCCAGGGACCCACGAUGCCAAAAGCACAGCUAGAGGGCCUGUGGAAUGAUGAUGCCUCUGAGCCUGAUUUACUGCAUCCUUACCCUGCCAAUGUCAUCUCAGGAUCGGAAUUAUUAGUUGUUUUAGUUUUAAAAAUGUAUUUAUUUGUUUGUUACAGUAAAAUCCCUGGGUACAGGGUCUGAAGUCCUGUCAUUCUUAUUGUCGGCACCCAGCAGAGUGGUCUUCAAUCAUUUUCUAAUUGUUUCCUCUGCUUUAAGUGUUAAUAUUUUAUCUCUAACUAAGAUAUAAGUUCCUGGAAUGUAGGGACUGAGCUUACACUUUUUUUUUAAAUCACCCCUCACCCCUAAAGGUCUUAACCUGUUCUGGGUCCUCAACAAAUACUUGAAGAAAUAAAACACACCCCUUAAA
This 734-nucleotide long non-coding RNA is filed under the name Monodelphis domestica (gray short-tailed opossum). RNAcentral describes it as "lncRNA (ENSMODG00000036846.1)". The record is from RNAcentral. Lineage: Eukaryota; Metazoa; Chordata; Mammalia; Didelphimorphia; Didelphidae.